This 468-nucleotide ribosomal RNA is filed under the name uncultured bacterium. RNAcentral's name for it is "partial 16S ribosomal RNA". It matches the Rfam family "Bacterial small subunit ribosomal RNA", at positions 28 to 507 of the family's 1533-position model. The record is from RNAcentral.
GACGAACGCUGGCGGCGUGCUUAACACAUGCAAGUCGAACGGACAGGCCCUGCUUUUGUGGGGUGCUCGAGUGGCGAACGGGUGAGUAACACGUGAGUAACCUGCCCUUGACUUUGGGAUAACUUCAGGAAACUGGGGCUAAUACCGGAUAGGAGCUCCUGCUGCAUGUGGGGGGUUGGAAAGUUUCGGCGGUUGGGGAUGGACUCGCGGCUUAUCAGCUUGUUGGUGGGGUAGUGGCUUACCAAGGCUUUGACGGGUAGCCGGCCUGGGAGGGUGACCGGCCACAUUGGGACUGAGAUACGGCCCAGACUCGUACGGUAGGCAGCAGUGGGGAAUAUUGCACAAUGGGCGGAAGCCUGAUGCAGCAACGCCGCGUGCGGGAUGACGGCCUUCGGGUUGUAAACCGCUUUCGCCUGUGACGAAGCGUGAGUGACGGUAAUGGGUAAAGAAGCACCGGCUAACUACGUG